Molecule: long non-coding RNA, 2133 nt
Organism: Thunnus maccoyii (southern bluefin tuna)
Lineage: Eukaryota; Metazoa; Chordata; Actinopteri; Scombriformes; Scombridae
Exons: 4
Source: RefSeq, a predicted model, not a curated record
UUCCUGUUUACAGCUCCACACAUCCCACAAACCCCUGCUACUCGAAUAGGAAAUGUUACACAGGCCCGAAGCGUGCAGCCAGCUGGGUAUAAAUCAGUUAUCGAGAGAUUAUUUUCACGGCAUUUCAGCUUAACUGUGACACCUGAUGAGAAACUUGGAUAAACCUCAGGCUCAUCAAAUCCUUCCAAGACACACUGGACAAACCACAACAAGCAUGAGGAAGACCAAGUGUGAAUGCUGAAGUAGUUACAGGGCAUCCAAUUGUCUUCAACCAAAUGCCGCACACGGGGAAUUUGCACGCUUUAUCAACUGUGGGUGUGAGUUCUCCAUAUCCCUCCCUCCCAGCUGACUCAUGACCAGUUCGGCUGCCGUGAGAAUAAACAAAGGAAUCACCAUCAUCACUGCAGAUAUACUCCUUCAGACUCACAGGAAACACAACCACAAACACAUUCAGACUGGAUGAUACUAACACGAAUCACCACUCUUGCCGAAUGCUCUUCUCUGAACACAAUUAUAAGUUACUGUGAUCACUAAUGCAUUGUGAAUGUAUUCCACAGUGGUGUGGUUUGACCACAUCUUGUUUGUUAAAAUUAAACCCAAUGACACAGUUCCUUCAGAGAGUCGUACAGUUACUUUAGGCGGAAAAGGUUUUGUUCUUUUGAGCGAGCGACGUUACAAAAAUGAUUCAUAUGACAGAACGGCUUGGUUAAGGUUAGAGAAACAUCAGUAUCAUGGUUAAAUGAAACCAGCUCGGCUGUUGGUGUGGGAUGGGAUGCAAACCUCUCUGGUGUCAAAGUCAGACCCAAUCAUCCACCCCAACCAGGUUUUGCGGCUCUCUCACAACAUGACGCUACUUUUGUCUUGUUAUUCACAUGACCGCAAGAGGUUGCUGAUCAGGGAAAUGUAAGCAUUUGAACUAACAGUAAAUGCUAUAUGAACAUGCGAAAGUUAAUGGAAAUACAGACACGUUCCACUUUUAGCCUUAUUUCUCUUUUUCUUUUCCUGGUACUUCCCCAGAGGAUCACUAUGUGACUACAUGUGUUUUAACAGCUCUGACUUUUGAUCAUACUAGUGGCUUUCUAUGAUACUGCUGAGCAAUGAAUUGCUGUUCAAACAAUACAAAAUGUAAUAUAGGAGAGAAAAAAUCUUAAUUUACUGACUUUUCCAUAAAACAAAUAAACUAAAUCAUUUUAAAGGGUGGUUGCUGACAAAACUUAUUCUUUCACAUAGUCUUAUACCACUUUCAUACAGCAGGCGCAUGUAUGAUGUGGGUCUAGUGACGCACAUUUAACCUGCGUUGGACCCUUUCAUAUCAGACUGUUGGACACUGGUCAAACCCACAAUGUUGACCUUCACAUUAGCCAUAGAUCCAGCCCGGGUCCGCACCAGCAUCUGGUGUCAAUUUAGGAGGAAUGAACAUGGUGGGGACAGUUGACAAUAUGGAGCAGCUUUGAGGAGUUAGUAGUUGUUUAGCUUUUGGACUCAUGUUAAAACCACAUAUCCAUGAUCAUAAAAUCCUGUGGUUGGUCCAUUUGCUUUCAGACCACAACCAAAGUACACCAGAGUCCGCUUCGAACCAGACAGAGACCCUCCUUUUCCGGUGGUGUUAGAUAGGUUGUUUGGACUGCACCAGGGUUCAGUUAAACUUUAACGCCAGCCCAAACACACCAGACCAGACAGGCACAUACACCAGAGUUUAUCUGAACCAAAUCAAACAGGUGUGAAAGACCCAUGGUGGUAUUUAGCCAUGCGGAUAGUGUUGGUUUUUAUUUUUGCCAGAUUUAGAGAUAUUCAUCUGUGAGAUUCCUGCCCCCACCUGAACACAAUGAAGGAAUUUUGUUUGGGUUACUCAAAACAUUGUAAAAUUACAUUUGAAAAAGUCAACAGUAGUAGUAGUAACAGUAGCAGAAAGUAGUCCCGAUGAGAUUUCUUCAGUGCACCUUCACAGUAUUAGGAUGAAUAAAAACCUGGGAAACCAAAACUAUCAACAUUCCUGGAUACAACUAAGAUGAGUGAGAAAACAUAUUUUUCUAUAAUUCGAUUAUCUGAGAAGAAGGCAGCUCAUACUGCAUUCCUCCUCGUUAGGUGUCAUUGAGGUCAUUGGUUGUUUCAUCAUUUCAUCAGAACAGUGAG